Molecule: RNA transcript, 2156 nt
Organism: Salvia splendens (bonfire salvia)
Lineage: Eukaryota; Viridiplantae; Streptophyta; Magnoliopsida; Lamiales; Lamiaceae
Gene name: protein FLX-like 3
Exons: 7
Source: RefSeq, a predicted model, not a curated record
AACGACGUCGUAAAUAGGAGUCUUCCGCGUUCAGCUGCAGCAAGUAAAAACCCUCAAACGAUCAAAUUCACAAUUUCAAUUUCAAUUUCAAUUUCAAUUUGGUUUAAACCUCCUUCGAUUCAUAGUCUCCUCCUUAUGGCUGGGAGAAACCGGAUGCCCCACCACCCUGAUAGUUUCCGAGGUGCCCAUGAAGAUCCACAUUCACUUCCACACGGGAUGCCAAUGCCACUUCCUCCACAUCCUGCGGUACUGGAAGAGGAACUUGAGUUCCAACACAGAGACAUUCAGAGGCUCCUUACUGAGAAUAGACAUGUCAUUGAUGACAAUGUGAUGCUUCAGAGGGAUUUGACUUCUGUGAAAGAUGAAAUUCACCGAUUGAAUCAGGUUAUCCCGAAAAUGCAUGCUGAUAAAGAGGCCAGAAGAAGGGAACUGAUCGAGAGGGCAAUGAAACUAGAGGCUGAACUUCGCUCUGCUGAACCUCUGAGAGUAGAGAUUGUGCAAUUAAGGGCGGACACACAGAAAUUGAGUGCACAGAAUAAGGAAUUAUCUUCCCAUGCUCAAAAUAUGACAAAGGAUAUUAAUAGGCUACAAUCUGAGAAUAAGCAAGUAGCUCCCAUGAAGUCUGACAUUGAUAAGAUGCGCAAAGAGCUGGUUGAUGCGAGGAGGGUAUAUGAAUAUGAGAAGAAAGGAAAUGAAGAGUUGGCAGAACAAAAUAGAGCCAUGGAGAAAAACCUUAUUGCAAUGGCUCGAGAAAUUGAAAAGCUGCGUGCUGAACAAGCAAGUGCUGACAGGAGGGAUGCUGGAGGAUAUGGACUGCUGAAUGGGAGCCCUGAAACAAGAUACCCAGGCCCAUAUGGGGAUGUAUAUGGCCCUGGCCCCUGGGGAUCAUACGACAAACGCGGUGGUCUUCCACGACGUUAAUCCUUGUUCAGGGUCUGAAUUAUGAGUGCCUCAGUUGCGUUACAACAGCUGCCGUCGAAAUCAAACUUAAUCUUCCAAAACGACGCCGUCGUCCGCUGUGGAAAUGCUGAGAUCAUCCACCUUACUGAAUUCCCCAACUAGAAAUCCAUUCCAAUCAACAAUUUCCACGCCGCAAAGAAACCCUAUUUUCCAGUCUGGCAUGUCCUUCUCGCCGGAAACGUCAUCCGCAAAGAAAUGCACUUGAUUCGUUUAUCUCUGGCGCUUGGCCGCGAGAUAAACCAGCGAGGCCUCUUCCGCGGAGCUGAAAUUGCCCAGCCAAAUUCGUCUCUUCUGAUGUGGAUCCCAAAUUUCAGUUGAGUACCUCCCCGAUUUCCUCUUGUGAGCGCCGACCAAAUUCCUCUUCGCGAUCAGAUUCUUGAAAUCAUCGCCGCCGCAGGAUUGGGACGCGAAAGAGGGCAAACGCGAGAGAGAAAGAAGAAGCGACGACAGAGCAGGCGAAACUCAGCGAUUUCUUGGCGAUUUCUCGUCAUAUUCCGAUAAGAUGGAAAUGGUAAGUUCUAGCGGACAUUUAUUAUACGGACCUGAAGAUCCGUCAGUGCUAUAUCUUCAGAAAAAACAUAUUUCAAAUAAAUUACUGAAAGAUGGCACAACACAAGUUUUCAAAGUUCGCCAGACGGAAAGUAAGACGUAGGAUGUGGACAUUCAUGAGAAUGUGAGGUAUUGGCUUGACGCCUUUGGUUUCAAAGACGUGAUGGAUUGUGGGAAGUCGAUGAAGGUCGACAGUGAGCUGAUCACGGCUUUGAUUGUGCGUUGGAGGCCGGAGACGCACACUUUCCAUCUACCGAUCGGAGAUGCGACAAUUAGCAUCAGUCGAUUCAUUCUUCCAAAAUUAUCAGUUUGUGCCUCCUGUACAAAUUGAAGAAGAAGAUGAUGAUGAAGGAGAAGAAGAAAAUGAUGAAAGAGAAGAGGAAAAUGAGGAAGAAGAGGUUGUUCAGAACAUCCAUGUCCAACCUCGACCAGUUGUGGAGGGUUCAUCACGCGGCGGGGUUGGGAAGAUCAUGAGCAAAGUGUACAAGAGAUUGUCAACCAGGAAGAAUAAGGGGAUUAAACCAUCGAAAUACACUCCAUCGUCCUAUAAGUAGCACAUUUUUCAGGGUUUAGUGAUGUUUUGAUACUUAAUUGACAGGUUUAUGGUGACUUAUUUUAAGAUGAAUUCAUGCAAAAAAAUUUCUUGU